RNAcentral lists this ribosomal RNA (341 nucleotides) under Bacillus subtilis. RNAcentral's name for it is "bacterial SSU rRNA". It matches the Rfam family "Bacterial small subunit ribosomal RNA", at positions 95 to 429 of the family's 1533-position model. Lineage: Bacteria; Bacillati; Bacillota; Bacilli; Caryophanales; Bacillaceae. The record is from RNAcentral.
GCGGCGGACGGGUGAGUAACACGUGGGUAACCUGCCUGUAAGACUGGGAUAACUCCGGGAAACCGGGGCUAAUACCGGAUGGUUGUUUGAACCGCACGGUUCAAACAUAAAAGGUGGCUUCGGCUACCACUUACAGAUGGACCCGCGGCGCAUUAGCUAGUUGGUGAGGUAACGGCUCACCAAGGCAACGAUGCGUAGCCGACCUGAGAGGGUGAUCGGCCACACUGGGACUGACACACGGCCCAGACUCCUACGGGAGGCAGCAGUAGGGAAUCUUCCGCAAUGGACGAAAGUCUGACGGAGCAACGCCUAGUGAGUGAUGAAGGUUUUCGGAUCGUAAA